GAGCAAAUUUGCAUAAACACAAAAACUCUUUGCCCCAAAGCACUGAGAGGGAAGAAGAGGGUCCUCAUAAAGGCAGCAGUGCUGUUAGGUCUCAGGAGCUAGAUCUCUAGGCACCUCCACCAUGGCCUGGACCCUUCUCCUGCUUCCCCUCCUCACUCUCUGCACAGGUUCUGUGACCACCUAUGACUUGACGCAACCACACUCAACUUCGGUGGCCCUAGGACAGACAGCGACAAUCACCUGCUCUGGAGAUAAUCUCGAGGAUGAAUAUGCUUACUGGUACCAGCAGAAGACAGGCCAGUCCCCUGCCCUGGUCAUUUAUAAGGAUAGUGAGCACCCCUCAGGGAUCCCUGACCGGUUCUCUGGCUCAAACUCAGGAAACACAGCCACGCUGACCAUCAGAGGGGCCAAGACAGAGGACAAGGCUGACUAUUACUGCCAAUCGUGGAGCAGUGCUAAUGCUCACAGUGACACAGGCUGA
Non-coding RNA from Equus caballus (horse), 481 nucleotides. Lineage: Eukaryota; Metazoa; Chordata; Mammalia; Perissodactyla; Equidae. The record is from the annotation of a RefSeq genome assembly.